Picea glauca (white spruce) is the source of this 124-nucleotide non-coding RNA. The record is from Rfam. NCBI's taxonomy places the organism in Eukaryota, Viridiplantae, Streptophyta, Pinopsida, Pinales, Pinaceae.
UCAUAUGUACAUACCUACAACGUUAAUGCACUGGAUCCCAUUAUAAAUCCCUAGUUAAGCGUGCUUGGGAUAUAGUAGUACUAGGAUGGGUUACCUCCCAGGAAGUCCUAGUGUUUUACAUGCC